RNAcentral lists this ribosomal RNA (1005 nucleotides) under uncultured bacterium. RNAcentral's name for it is "bacterial SSU rRNA". It matches the Rfam family "Bacterial small subunit ribosomal RNA", at positions 356 to 1376 of the family's 1533-position model. RNAcentral also lists the same sequence under 1 other name. The record is from RNAcentral.
GGGGAAUAUUGCACAAUGGGCGAAAGCCUGAUGCAGCGACGCUGCGUGAGCGAAGAAGUAUUUCGGUAUGUAAAGCUCUAUCAGCAGGGAAGAUAAUGACGGUACCUGACUAAGAAGCACCGGCUAAAUACGUGCCAGCAGCCGCGGUAAUACGUAUGGUGCAAGCGUUAUCCGGAUUUACUGGGUGUAAAGGGCUCGUAGGCGGUUCGUCGCGUCCGGUGUGAAAGUCCAUCGCUUAACGGUGGAUCCGCGCCGGGUACGGGCGGGCUUGAGUGCGGUAGGGGAGACUGGAAUUCCCGGUGUAACGGUGGAAUGUGUAGAUAUCGGGAAGAACACCAAUGGCGAAGGCAGGUCUCUGGGCCGUUACUGACGCUGAGGAGCGAAAGCGUGGGGAGCGAACAGGAUUAGAUACCCUGGUAGUCCACGCCGUAAACGGUGGAUGCUGGAUGUGGGGCCCGUUCCACGGGUUCCGUGUCGGAGCUAACGCGUUAAGCAUCCCGCCUGGGGAGUACGGCCGCAAGGCUAAAACUCAAAGAAAUUGACGGGGGCCCGCACAAGCGGCGGAGCAUGCGGAUUAAUUCGAUGCAACGCGAAGAACCUUACCUGGGCUUGACAUGUUCCCGACGGUCGUAGAGAUACGGCUUCCCUUCGGGGCGGGUUCACAGGUGGUGCAUGGUCGUCGUCAGCUCGUGUCGUGAGAUGUUGGGUUAAGUCCCGCAACGAGCGCAACCCUCGCCCCGUGUUGCCAGCGGAUUAUGCCGGGAACUCACGGGGGACCGCCGGGGUUAACUCGGAGGAAGGUGGGGAUGACGUCAGAUCAUCAUGCCCCUUACGUCCAGGGCUUCACGCAUGCUACAAUGGCCGGUACAACGGGAUGCGACGCGGCGACGCGGAGCGGAUCCCUGAAAACCGGUCUCAGUUCGGAUCGCAGUCUGCAACUCGACUGCGUGAAGGCGGAGUCGCUAGUAAUCGCGAAUCAGCAACGUCGCGGUGAAUGCGUUCCCG